Long non-coding RNA from Erigeron canadensis, 849 nucleotides. RefSeq lists it as uncharacterized. Lineage: Eukaryota; Viridiplantae; Streptophyta; Magnoliopsida; Asterales; Asteraceae. The record is from RefSeq and is a predicted model, not a curated record. The transcript has 7 exons.
AGAAAACAAAUAUCGCUCAUAUUCUUUCCAUCAAAUUCGUUGCUGGUGAUACCUUCAACACCUAAUUUUUAGGGAUUUAGGGUUAACAAUUAGAUGAAUACAAUCAAUAUAUUUAACAAGAUUUUAGUAUUCAAAAUUUUUCUAUUUCCACGGUCAAUUUCACAUUUCCGAUCCUUUCAUCCAGGAUAAUAGUUUGAAUAUGAAAUUCGGGUUUCCAAAGAACCCAUAUUCUCAUGUAUCUGGAGCAUCAAUUUCGUGACCAAAGUCUUAAAAUAUGAGCUUUCUUUGAUCAAAAAAAUAAUGAAUCAAGGUGCCCGACUUGCGGAAACUAUAAGACCCAUUAUGUAAAGUUUGCUAGGCUUUUCAAUGGAGCCAAUGCAGUUCAUCCAGAGACUGUACUGAUGACACGAAUAAACUGUGCGAUACGAUGAUUUGUCGUGGCAGCAAGAAUGAUACUAGGGCCUUCAGCUAUGGCUUAUGGAAUCUGCUACAUUUACUUUAAGUGAGAGUUGAGGAUGGAGAGAGUCAGAUGACGUUUACAACUAUCCUUUCUAUCCACCAGUGAUUCAUGUGUUAGGAGUGUCGUCGACACUUUUAUAGUAUGUGCUCAAGGCGGGCAUAGUGAAGAAGGAUACUAUCAAGAUCCAUGGAUGCUAGGCUGCUGAAGCCACACAUGUAUACGCAUAUCAAGCAAGUAGAGUGUUGUGUUUGCUCUUAGUUGGGUUGUGACAAUUUCUGCAAGUUGUCUCUGUUAUUUCUACUACUAGCUCGGUAAUGUUAUGAGAUAUGUGUUUCCAUGUUAAUGUUAGACAUAUAAUAAUCAAUGAACAAUUGGUAAUAUCCUUCACA